This 3792-nucleotide long non-coding RNA is filed under the name Lynx pardinus (Iberian lynx). Lineage: Eukaryota; Metazoa; Chordata; Mammalia; Carnivora; Felidae. The record is from RNAcentral.
GGGCACAUGGUAGAAGAAUGAAUUAAAAGACUGGGGGAAGUGGGCAUGCUGGAAUGGAUAUGUGUGAAGCCAGAAGACCCAUCAGAGGAUUCUGUUUCACAGGAGGGCCCAGAAGAUACACCAUUCACCAAGGCCAUCAGAAAUCCUCUGGUAAGGGACACCACCACCAAGAAGUUCUCUGCGUUCCUGAGCUAACAACAGCAGUCACAGAGUUAGGACCCAUUAAUGAUUAUGGGAAAAAUAUUCCCCUUCCCCAAGUAAUAGAGGCCAGAUAGUGGCACUUAGUCACUAGAAGCCAGGAGGCCACAAUUAAAAAGACCAACAACAUUUGACAAGUGGCAGCCAAGAGGGCUUGACUCACAGGGAGUUGUGGAGAUGGAUGUAGAGCUUGGUAUCUCUAGGGGCAAAAUAGGUGGGAAUCCUAUUAACAUCUACAACCCAAAAAAGGCCAAAACGGAGGAGCAGGAGACUGAGGAUGGUUUCAUCCAGAAAGUCAUCGUCCCUUGUUCAGUAUCCCGAUCUGAGCCACUUUUCAGAUCUGAAACUUGUUGACUUAAGGGGCGGCAGGUCCUGCGGCACUGCAGCAAAUGUAAGUGUUAUGAUUCCCCAGUCCUUUGCUAAAGAUACCUAUGGCCAUUUACUUCAGUGAUUGUACACAGUGGGAAAGAGGAAUAACCAGAAAUUUAAGAACUAUUGGACUCAGUCAACUCAGACAUCAAUAUCCUGAGACCCAAAGCAUUGUCAUAGCCUCUUGUUAGAGUGGAGGCAAAUGGGGACUGGGUAAUAAUUGGAGUUCUGACUAAAGUCUAGUUAGGGUAGGUCCAUUGUGUCUGUGAACCCACCCAGUGGUCAUUUCUUCAGUUCUUGAGUCUGUAAUUGGAGUUGAUACACUUAGCAGCUGCAGUUAUACCAACAUUUAAAUGCUUGACCUGUGUGAAGAGCUAUCAUAGUGGAGAAGGCCAAGUGGAAACACCUGAAAAUGACCUUCCAGACCUGGCUAACAUAGUAAAUUAAAAAAUAAACAAAUGAAAAUAUCACAUACCAGGGGGCAUGGUGGAAAUUAGUGCCACCAUUAAAGACCUAAGAAAUGUGGGAGGAUGGUCCCUAUCAUAUCUCCAUUUAAUUAGCCAGUCAGGCCCCUGCAGAAACUAGAUGGGUCCUGGAGAAUGACUCUAGACCACCAUAGCAAGUCACAGCCCCAAUAGCACCUGCUGUGCUUUAUAUAGUCUUACUGCUAGUGCAGAUUAAUAAGGCAUCAGGACAUGACGUGUGGCCAGUGGUUUGUUGAACAAAUUAUUUUCCAUUUUGAUUAGGAAAGAUCGUGUGGGACAGAUAACCAUUUACAGUUUUGCCUCAAGGAUAGAUUAACUCUGCCCUCUGUCGUAAUAAGGUCCAAAGAAAUCUGAACCUCCUAAACAUCUCAUAGAGUAGCACACCGACCCAUUGCAUCAAUGAUAUGCCGGUCAGACUGUACAAGUGGAGUGGCUAGUAUGCUGGAGGCAUUGGUAAGACUAAUGCUCCAGAGAAUAGAAGAAAAAUGCUAUAAAGAUUCAAGGACUUGCCACUUCAGUGAGGUUUUCAGAGUGUACCAUUAUAUCUUUCCAAAGUGAAAGUCUUGCAUCCCUUACCACAAAGAAGAAUGCACAGGGCUUGGUAUGUCUCUUUAGGUUCUGGAGCAACAUAUACCACACUUAGGAAUACUGCUCCAGCCCAUUUACCAGGUGACAUUGAAGAUUUCCAGCUUUGGGGCCCAGAGCAGGUGAAAGGCUCUUCAGAAGUCCAGGCUACAGUACAGACAUCUUUGUCACUUUGGCCAUAUAUUCCAGUAAAAUCUUGUAUUGGAGGUAUCAGACUAGGGAAAGAAGCAGUUUGGAGCUUGUGAUGGUUAAUUUUAUGUCAACUUGGCUGGGCUAUGGGGUAGUCCAGUAUUUGGCCAAACAUUAUUCUGCGUGUGUCUGUGGGUGUGUUUCCAGAUGAAGUUAACAUUGGAUUGGUAGAAUGAGUAAAGCAGAUUGCCAUCCCUAAUGUAAGUGGGCCUCAUUCAAUCAGUUGAAGACCUGAGUAGAACUAAAAGAUUGAGUAGAAGGGAACUCCUGCUUGAUUGCAUAGCUAGGAUGUUGGUCUUUUCCAGCCUUUAGGCUUGGUCUGAAACAUCAGCUCUUCUUGGAUCUUGAACCCGCCAACUUUCAGACUGGAAAUCAUGCCAUUGGCUUUCCUUGUUCUCAGGCCGUUGGCUUCAGACUGGGAACUACACAUCAGCUCUCCUGGGUCUCCAGCUUGAUGACUGCAGAUCUUGGGACUUCUUGGCCUCCAUACUCAUGUGAGUCAAUUCUUUAUAAUAAAUCUAUAGCUAUAGCUAUACAAUCUAUAUCUAUACUUACACCUACAUCUAUAUAACUAUAAUGUUUCUGUUUCUCUGGAGAUCCCUGGCUAAUACAGAUCUUGACACCAGCCGUGGAAUGUAGCUGUAACAAAUAACUAAAAAUGUGGAAGCUGCUUCGGAACUGGAUAAUGAGUGGAGUUGGAAAAGUUUUAAAGUGCAUGCUACAAAUAUGGACAUUAAGGACAAUUCUGGUGAGACGUCAGAUGGAAAUGAGGAGGACGUUAAUGGAAAUUGUGGGAAAAGUGACCCUUGUUAUAAAGUGGUGAAUAACUUGGCUGAACUGUGUUCUGUUUUGUGCAAGGUAGAAUUUGUGAGUGAUGAAAUUGGAUAUUUAGCUGAGGAGAUUUCUAAGCAAAGUAUUGAAGGAGGGGCUUGGUUCCUCCUGAUUGCUUAUAGUAAAAUGUGAAAGGAGAGAGAUGAAGAAGGAAUUGUUAAGCAAAAAGGAACCAGAACUUGAUGAUUUAGAGAUUUCUCAGCCUAUCCAUAUUGAAAAACAUGAGAAAGCAUGUUCUAAAGAAAAUACCAAUGGCACAACUUGAUUAUCACUUGAUAAAGAGUUUAUGGGAUUAUAUGAGCAGAAAUGCAGCCAAUUUGAACUGAAGGGGAUGAAGAUGGGACCAAACAAAGGAAGGCUGUUGGGCUUAUUGAAUUUGACAAGACAGAAUGAUAGAGCUAUUCAGCUGCACACAUGCACUAUUCUGCAAGAAGAGGGGAAAAUGAUGCCGACAGUGAUUAAGAGAUCAUCAGGGCCACUACACUACCUCAGUUUCAACAGCCUUUGGUGGGGGACUACCCAACAGGACCUUGGGGGUGAUGCUGCCACCUACUGGACCUGGAGGGCAGAGCAUUGAACCAAGGAGGAUUAUUUUAAAGCCUUAAAAUCUGAUGGACUUUGCCUUGCUAAAUUUUGAGCUUGCUUGGGACCAUCACCCCUUUCUUCUCCCUUUUGUAAUGAGAAUGUCUAUCCUAUUACUAUCCCACUAUUGUAUUUUGAAAGUAUAUAACUUGUCUGAUUUCACAGAUUCACAGCUGGAGAGGAAUUUUGCCUCAGGAUGAAUCAUACCUCCAGUCUCACUCUAUCUGAUUUAGAUGAUAUUCAAAUGAGACUUUAGAUGCUGGAAUAAAUUAAGAGCUUUGGAGAUUUGGGGAUGAAAUGAAUGUAUUUUGUGUGCAAUAAUGAUAUGAAUUUUAGGGGGCCACAGGUGGAAUGUUAUAGACUGAAUGUGUCCCCCUCCAAAUUCAUACAUUGAAGCCCUAAUCCCCAACAUGAUGACAAAGAGGCACCAGAGAGCUCUCUUUCUCUGCCCUAUAAGGAUACAGUGAGAAGGUAGCUGUCUGCAAGUCAGGAAGAGAGCUUUCACCAGAUCCUGAUUAUGCUGGCAUCUUGAUCUCGGACUUCUGGCCUCUAG